RNAcentral lists this ribosomal RNA (723 nucleotides) under Triticum aestivum (bread wheat). RNAcentral describes it as "partial small subunit ribosomal RNA". Lineage: Eukaryota; Viridiplantae; Streptophyta; Magnoliopsida; Poales; Poaceae. The record is from RNAcentral.
AUGCAUUGGUCUGAGAAGCCUAUCAGUUGGAGCAGAGCUGACCACCCGGAGGUGAUGCCCUCUCCUGGAUCUUAUGCUUUGGUCUUGGACGCCACCUUUGCAACCGAGAGGCGGGCUGCUCGCUUCUUCCGAGUUCUGAUAGAUGGCGGCAACAGCAUCAACAUCCUGUACCGAGAUACUAUGGAGAAACUAGGAAUCAAACAGAGGCAGCUUCAGCCCAGUCGGACUGUAUUCCAUGGCAUAGUUUCUGGCCUUUCCUGCUCACCAAUCGGUAAGACACAGGUAGAUGUCCUCUUCGGGGACAAAGAUCACUUCCGCCGAGAGCCAGUCUGGUUUGAAGUGGUGGACCUUGAGAGCCCCUACCAUGCGCUACUUGGCCGACCUGCUCUGGCCAAGUUCAUGGCGGUCCCCCACUAUGCUUACCUCAAGAUGAAGAUGCCGAGCACCAAGGGAAUCCUGACCAUAGUCGGAGACUACAAGAAGUCGUCCGCCUGUGCAGCAGACAGCAGCCGGCUGGUCGAGUCCCUCGUGAUCGCGGCAGAGAAACGGCUCCUUGACCGGGUUGUGGCCAUGGCAGGCAAGCAGCCGGAAAUGUCACCCAACCCCAAGGAGUCGGAAGCUGAGGGCUCGUUCAAGCCGGCGAAAGAAACAAAGAAUAUACCCUUGGACCCGGAGCACCCGGAGAGGCACGCUGUCAUAGGUGCUGACCUUGACAGCAAAUAG